GAUGAACGCUGGCGGCGUGCCUAAUACAUGCAAGUCGAGCGAACAGACGAGGAGCUUGCUCCUCUGACGUUAGCGGCGGACGGGUGAGUAACACGUGGAUAACCUACCUAUAAGACUGGGAUAACUUCGGGAAACCGGAGCUAAUACCGGAUAAUAUAUUGAACCGCAUGGUUCAAUAGUUAAAGACGGUUUUGCUGUCACUUAUAGAUGGAUACGCGCCGCAUUAGCUAGUUGGUAAGGUAACGGCUUACCAAGGCAACGAUGCGUAGCCGACCUGAGAGGGUGAUCGGCCACACUGGAACUGAGACACGGUCCAGACUCCUACGGGAGGCAGCAGUAGGGAAUCUUCCGCAAUGGGCGAAAGCUUGACGGAGCAACGCCGCGUGAGUGAUGAAGGUCUUCGGAUCGUAAAACUCUGUUAUUAGGGAAGAACAAAUGUGUAAGUAACUAUGCACGUCUUGACGGUACCUAAUCAGAAAGCCACGGCUAACUACGUG
Molecule: ribosomal RNA, 497 nt
Filed under: uncultured bacterium
Lineage: Bacteria
Description: partial 16S ribosomal RNA
Rfam family: Bacterial small subunit ribosomal RNA
Source: RNAcentral